Molecule: ribosomal RNA, 1488 nt
Filed under: uncultured bacterium
Lineage: Bacteria
Description: 16S ribosomal RNA
Rfam family: Bacterial small subunit ribosomal RNA
Source: RNAcentral
AACGAACGCUGGCGGCGUGGCUAAGACAUGCAAGUCGAACGAACUAUUCAAUUGAGUAAUCGAGAGAAUAGUUAGUGGCGUAAGGGUUAGUAAUGGACAGAUAACGUACCCUCUGCUUCGGGAUAGCGUCUCCCGCACCUUUGUGGUGCGGGAUUCCGAAAGGGGCGGUAAUACCGGAUAAUAUCAUCUGCCUAUAGGCAGGUGCUUAAAGAUUUAUCGGCAGAGGAGCGGCCUAUCUCCUAUCAGCUUGUUGGUGAGGUAAUAGCUCACCAAGGCUAUGACGGGUAGCGGGACUGAGAGGUCGGCCCGCAACAUCGGGACUGAGACACUGCCCGGACCUCCACGGAGGGCUGCAGUAACGAAUCUUGCGCAAUGGGGGAGAGCCUGACGCAGCGACGCCGCGUGCGGGAGGAAGUCCCUCGGGAUGUAAACCGCUGUCAGGGGUAAGAAAGUACGCCUCGGCGUAUUGAUCAGCCCCACAGGAAGUCACGGCUAACUUCGUGCCAGCAGCCGCGGUAAGACGAAGGUGGCUAGCGUUGUUCGGUGUCACUGGGCUUAAAGGGUGUGUAGGCGGAAAGGUAAGCGUCCUGUGAAAGCCCUCGGCUUAACCGAGGAAUUGCGCGACGAACUGCUUUUCUUGAGGCAAGUAGGGGUGCAUGGAACUCUUGGUGGAGCGGUGGAAUGCGUAGAUAUCAAGAGGAACGCCGGCGGUGAAAACGGUGCACUGGGCUUGUCCUGACGCUGAGACACGAAAGCGUGGGGAGCGAACGGGAUUAGAUACCCCGGUAGUCCACGCCGUAAACGAUGUCUACUAGUUAUGGAAGUUCUGACACUUGCACAGCCGAAGCAAAAGUGUUAAGUAGACCGCCUGGGGAGUACGGCCGCAAGGCUAAAACUCAAAGGAAUUGACGGGGGCUCACACAAGCGGUGGAGCAUGUGGAUUAAUUCGAAGCAACGCGUAGAACCUUACCUGGGUUUGACAUGCUUGGAUACCUGCCCCGAAAGGGGAUUUGGUUGCCUUCGGGUGAAACUUGCACAGGUGCUGCAUGGCUGUCGUCAGCUCGUGUCGUGAGAUGUCGGGUUAAGUCCUCCCCACGAGCGAAACCCUUGCCGUUAGUUGCCAGCGGGUAAUGCCGGGAACUCUAACGGGACUGCCGGUGUUAAACCGGAGGAAGGUGGGGAUGACGUCAAGUCCUCAUGGCCUUUAUGCCCAGGGCUUCACACGUGCUACAAUGGCGGCAACAGAGCGACGCAAUACCGCGAGGUGGAGCAAAUCGCAAAAUGUCGCCCCAGUUCGGAUCGUAGGCUGACAACUCGCCUACGUGAAGUUGGAAUCGCUAGUAAUCGCGUAUCAGCUACGACGCGGUGAAUGUGUUCCUGAGCCUUGUACACACCGCCCGUCAAGUGAUGGAAGUUGGGAGUACCCGAAGUCGGGUUGCUAACUCGCCUCGGCGAGAAGCGCCUGCCGACGGUAAGCCCGAUGACUGG